This is a small nucleolar RNA of Drosophila kikkawai, 139 nucleotides long. RefSeq annotates it as small nucleolar RNA psi18S-1377. NCBI's taxonomy places the organism in Eukaryota, Metazoa, Arthropoda, Insecta, Diptera, Drosophilidae. The record is from RefSeq and is a predicted model, not a curated record.
ACGUUCUUGUGUUAUUUGCUGGUUGUUUUCUAUAAACCAGUGAUUGUCAAACAGAACGCAAACCAAAGCAACUAAUCACUCCAUAAUGGUGCGUCCAAUUUAGCCAGGACUACAUCGUUACUAAAUGUAUGCAACAUUC